GAACAAAGCAAAUUAAGGCUCAAAAAGGGGUAGCAAAAGAUAAAAGUGUUUGGGUAACAGAAUAAAAUGCCUUCGUCAUACCAAACUUUAAAAACGCCAAGUACAAACAUGCAAUUGAAGAUAAGCAAAGAAAUCAUACACAGUAUCUAUUGACGGCAUCAACGCAAACAAAAAGUGCCAAUAGGCAAUACUUUUGUCCCAGUGAAUGACCCUUGCCAGUUCGAAGCAGAUUUGACUCAACCUUAUCUUGAUGUGAAAGAAUGCAUUUGAGCACUGACUGAUUUACCUCAAACUGCUUAAGAGGCAUUUUCUUGUUGUAUGCUCUUAUCAAUCUCUUGAUUUUCCAGACUUACUGCCUCAGUUUCACUCAAUUCAAGCUUCAGGUCAUCUCACAAUGCGUGAAUCUCUACUUGUUUCCUCAAAUGCCUCUUUUAUCAUGUUCAAAACUGUGUCAUUGCUUCAUGAUUAAACUAACUUUCAAGACCAGGCUAAGAAUUAUGUGUGAAUGUCAUGUCACUAGAAUCUGGAUGAAAAGAACUAUAAAAGAAAAAGUCACCUAAACAAAAACUAACUAGAACUCAUAGAAAACAAGUGAUUGUAUUAGACAGAUGGUGAAAAAUGUUUGAACAAAACAAACAAAAUAGACAUGGGUUACAAUCCUGGAACAAACCUAGAUAGCACUAGACGAGUUGCUACAACUAAACGAACUAGGCAAAAUAAGAAGAAGAAGGGUUUGAGCCACAAGACAAUAUCUGGAUUAGAACCCUAAAAUAACCUGGACAACAAAAUAAACUACCAAAACUCCUCCCUGGCUAGCCAAGAAAGGAGUGUCUUUCCAAUUACCAAGCUCGACAUCUUAGCCACUGGGUUGCACAUCAAAAUUACUGGGACCUUCACCAAUUUCAGUAUCAUUAACUUCAGUCAGCAUGUCACCAAAAUUAUUGGGACCUUUUUUACAACCUCACUAACCCUCUUAAAUAAAUAAACAGGAUUUGUAAAGCUCAAAAGGGUUUUCAAUUAUGAAAGUGAUAAAGAAUUGUGUUUCAAAAGAUAUUUCAGAGUCACCACCUGACAUUGAUUUCGGUGUGCCAAGUCACCGUUUUUUAAAAAUAAUUUUUAUGUUAAAACACUUUGGAUUCCAAAACUAAGUCCGCAUCAGAGAUUUGGGUAAAGGGGGUUCAAUUGACUCGGGGAGAAGGUGUUAGGCACUCCCAAAGUCCCGUGAAGGUCACGGUUGCGUACUCAGUCUAGUUGGCUUCUAAAAUAUUCAAAUUGAGGUAAAAUCACAAAAAGAAAAAUAAACACAAAAGAGGCCCGAGGUCGUCCCCACCUAAAUAAAAGAAAGAGAAAAAUGAAAAUAAAGAUACUACAAAUUCUAUUUUUGAUCUCCGAAUACAAAUACUACGGGGCAUACCCCAGAUAAAUCUAUACAAAGUCUACGGGGCAUACCACGGAUAAAUUUAACUAAAUGGGGUGACCUCUCACCUUAAAAUUAAACAAACAAAAUCCUAAAGUUUGUCUAUCCAAGCGUGGUUGGUCUAUAACAUAUUACUACCAAACCCAUGUAGGCAAAAAUACAAAUAAAAGCAAAAUUAAGUCCAAUUCCCCAAUUUCAUCUCAGGCCCAACAUUUGUAUAUUUUUUUAAUAUCCCUUUUAAUAUCUUUAAUUGAGUUCUUUUCUCCAACCAAGUAAUCAUUUGAAUCUCAAAUAGAUGUUCAACUCUCCUUAAUUAAGUUCAAACCUCCACUGCCUGUUUAUCUUAUUUACUUAAGAAGUAAUUACCAAAAAAACAAAAACAAAAAAAGUAGAACAAUCAAUCAAAUAAAGGAACUGAACCCAAAAGAUUUGUUUGAGCAGAAUAUUUCAAUAAUAGACACUAACAAACAGACAGGACACUCACUAAAUUAAUCAACAAAAUAGUAUCACCAAGUAAUCACGUACAUGAAACUAAAGAAGAGUUAAUAGAUAGGAAAAGGAUAAGAGCGGACCUCAAAUUAGCAAAUGGUCACCUUCGAUAACUGGACCGAAAGUCGAACAAUGUGUAUUCUUAAACAAAUCUGAAGAUGAGCAAGGAACAACUAUCGGACCUUCGAACUAAGAACGGAACCAACGAACGGACCACCUAUCAAUAGUGAAACUACACCGGCGACUUCGACGGAACUCAAGCUCGAAAUUGAGUCGGUGAAGGGACUUUUGGCUAAAACAGUAGUGGUACCGCCAUCUCUGAGUUCUUCCGUCACUUUGCUCUAUCUGUGCCUGUGUGUGCGUGUGUCUUUUUUUGGUGUCGAAUUCCGGCGAGAUGGCCGGAGGUGGACGGUUGGAGAUGGGGUAUGCGGUUGUCUCUUGGGAUGGAGGAGUUAGGGUUGAUUUUGUGGUGAAGAGAGAGGAAUUCUGAAGCUAAAUGGUCUUGGAGAUGAAGAAGAAAGGUUGGUCGUUGCUAGCUCUUGAAGGCGUGCGGCGCUAAGGAUUUUUUUCCGUC
Molecule: long non-coding RNA, 2480 nt
Filed under: Nicotiana tabacum (common tobacco)
Lineage: Eukaryota; Viridiplantae; Streptophyta; Magnoliopsida; Solanales; Solanaceae
Description: long non-coding RNA (NTAB_LNC007788)
Source: RNAcentral